RNAcentral lists this ribosomal RNA (627 nucleotides) under uncultured bacterium. RNAcentral's name for it is "bacterial SSU rRNA". The stretch from base 1 to 518 matches the Rfam family "Bacterial small subunit ribosomal RNA", at positions 338 to 873 of the family's 1533-position model. The record is from RNAcentral.
CCUACGGGAGGCAGCAGUGGGGAAUCUUGCGCAAUGGGCGAAAGCCUGACGCAGCCAUGCCGCGUGAAUGAUGAAGGUCUUAGGAUUGUAAAAUUCUUUCACCGGGGACGAUAAUGACGGUACCCGGAGAAGAAGCCCCGGCUAACUUCGUGCCAGCAGCCGCGGUAAUACGAAGGGGGCUAGCGUUGCUCGGAAUUACUGGGCGUAAAGGGAGCGUAGGCGGAUAGUUUAGUCAGAGGUGAAAGCCCAGGGCUCAACCUUGGAAUUGCCUUUGAUACUGGCUAUCUUGAGUACGGAAGAGGUAUGUGGAACUCCGAGUGUAGAGGUGAAAUUCGUAGAUAUUCGGAAGAACACCAGUGGCGAAGGCGACAUACUGGUCCGUUACUGACGCUGAGGCUCGAAAGCGUGGGGAGCAAACAGGAUUAGAUACCCUGGUAGUCCACGCUGUAAACGAUGAGUGCUAGUUGUCGGCAUGCAUGCAUGUCGGUGACGCAGCUAACGACAUUAAGUACACCUCCGCCGUCGGGGUAGGGUACGGGUCCGGCGAAGAAGUUAAAACGUUAACGUAAAGUUAAGUUAAGUAGUUACGGUUCGUAGAGAGCGACGACGACGACGACGGAGGAGGAG